Long non-coding RNA from Musa acuminata AAA Group (dessert banana), 924 nucleotides. RefSeq lists it as uncharacterized. The record is from RefSeq and is a predicted model, not a curated record. Lineage: Eukaryota; Viridiplantae; Streptophyta; Magnoliopsida; Zingiberales; Musaceae. The transcript is spliced from 3 exons.
AAUAACGAGCUGCAGCAUUUGGAGUCGAGAAAGGGAGGGGGCGAAGAGGAGGAUUCACGUCUUUGUUAGAACCCUAACAAGGAAGACGAUCGCUCUUGAGGUUGAGAGCAGAGACACCGUCGACGAGGUCAGAUCUAAGAUCCAGAGAGGAGAAUUCAUGUAUACGUUGCGAUGGUCUUCUUGAACGGAACUUGGAAUGCUAAUUAUGUCUUCAAGUCCAUUCAAGAAUUCAUCUUGAAGCAAUUAUAUAUUGUCGUUGUUGCAGCCAUUCAAGGAUAAAUUGGCCAUGAGAGGUUUCUUCCUCAGACAUUUCGAUAGAGGCAGGACAAGGAAGGCAUUUCCUCGGAUUAACAGAGAUUUGACUUUUGCCGGGAGCCAGCUGGAGAGCCAGCUGGAAUAUGGUCGAAACACUUGCGGAUUACAAUACUUAAAAAGGUGUCUACAUUUCAUCUGAUUCCGAGGCUUAGGUUUGGAAUGAUAACAAAGGCAAAGACUUUAACAGGAAAAGAGAUUGAAAAUGGGCAUUGAACCCACAUACACUGUUUGUAGGAUCGAGGAAUGGGUUGGGGUGAUAGGGAAUACCCAACUUUCUUUUACUUUGAUCACCUGGGCUCAUUAGAUGGACCACGGACCAAUUGGUACCAUGUGGUUCUCAAGAACUGCUGGUUUACUAAGGCCAAGUGAAUCGUACUUACUGCUGGAAUUGUUAUAAAAGGGGAGAAAAUAGACAUGGUGAGUGAAAUAAUAUGCUCAUAGGUUUGUCGAGAAAUUGCUACCUCGAGGGUUACUUUGUAAACACAAGAUAUUAGUAUGUGCAACUUAAACCAUUCGAUGUCUGAGUCGACAAUCAUAUUAGCAACAAUGUAUUAGCCAUUCAAUGUCUGAACACAAGAUAUUAGCAAUGUAUUUGCUACUCGUUUCCUA